This 289-nucleotide unclassified non-coding RNA is filed under the name Hevea brasiliensis (rubber tree). The record is from RNAcentral. Lineage: Eukaryota; Viridiplantae; Streptophyta; Magnoliopsida; Malpighiales; Euphorbiaceae.
UGACCUCGCCAGGAUUUGAUUUGAUCAGAAGUUGCCUGCCAUCAAGGUGAGUCAGGACAAACUGAAAUCCACAGAGCGCCUCUGUUAAAUUGAGGGUGCGCUCCACAAUGAGAUCAUCAACCUUCCGCUCAAACUUGGGGUGAUCCCUCAGUUGCAAUACAAAAACAAUAUCUCCAGUAACCGUAUCAGGCGCUUCAUCAGCUUGACCCUCAAAAACUAUUUUCUGGCCAUGAUGCAUCCCUUUCUCAACAUGUACCUCCAGCACUUUCUUUUCUUGAGAUACUUUUUU